CCUACGGGAGGCAGCAGUGAGGAAUAUUGGUCAAUGGACGAGAGUCUGAACCAGCCAAGUAGCGUGAAGGAUGACUGCCCUAUGGGUUGUAAACGUCUUUUAUAUGGGAAUAAAAUGUUCCACGUGUGGGAUUUUGUAUGUACCAUAUGAAUAAGGAUCGGCUAACUCCGUGCCAGCAGCCGCGGUAAUACGGAGGAUCCGAGCGUUAUCCGGAUUUGUUUGGUUUAAAGGGAGCGUAGGUGGAUUGGUAAGUCAGGUGUGAAAGUUUGCGGCUCAACCGUAAGAUUGCAGUUGAAACUGGCAGUCUUGAGUACAGUAGAGGUGAGCGGAAUUCGUGGUGUAGCGGUGAAAUGCGUAGAUAUCACGAAGAACUCCGAUUGCGAAGGCAGCUCACUGGACUGCAACUGACGCUGAGGCUCGAAAGUGUGGGGAGCAAACAGGAUUAGAUACCCGAGUAGUC
This 460-nucleotide ribosomal RNA is filed under the name uncultured bacterium. RNAcentral describes it as "partial 16S ribosomal RNA". It matches the Rfam family "Bacterial small subunit ribosomal RNA", at positions 338 to 795 of the family's 1533-position model. The record is from RNAcentral.